This is a small nuclear RNA of Suncus etruscus (white-toothed pygmy shrew), 108 nucleotides long. The record is from RefSeq and is a predicted model, not a curated record. Lineage: Eukaryota; Metazoa; Chordata; Mammalia; Eulipotyphla; Soricidae.
UCCAGAGUUUUCACUUGGGCAUAUACUAAAAUCAGAAUGAUACAGAGAAGAUUAUCAUGGCCCCUGCACAAGGUUGACAUGCCAGUUCAUGAAGCAUUCCAUAUUUUU